ACGUCGGUAGUACAAUGGUUACAGCACACGCACUUGGAUAGGGUGAAAUGCGGGUUCGAGUCUCGCUUGACGCA
This is a non-coding RNA of Parelaphostrongylus tenuis, 74 nucleotides long. The record is from the annotation of a GenBank genome assembly. NCBI's taxonomy places the organism in Eukaryota, Metazoa, Nematoda, Chromadorea, Rhabditida, Metastrongylidae.